UCACACACAUAAGUGUAACUCUGUUGACAUUCGUGGAGUUACUCCUCGUUUACAGCAAUGCAAAGGAGAACAGACUCAGGCCCAAGAGGGGCAAAUCUAGGAUGCGAACCUGCCUCGGAUGUCAAAAAGGCAACUUGCCAUGAAAUCUGAUAAUGUGCCACGGAUCACGGGGAUCCUUGGUACAAUCGCUGCUAUCAGUGCAGAAUGCAUCGCCUGUUUUACUGAGACGUCCGAACGGCCAUUAGGAAAACACAAAUAUUCAUGUCAAGCCUGCUUGCCAGAAGUAUGGUGCCAUUACUCCAAUGAAUUGAUCGCGUUUGUAGAUGGGCCUCGAGGAUAUAGUUUCUGAGGCAAAUAGUUUGUUUCUCAUACAUUCCGUACCGUUGAACCCAAUACCAAGAAAUACAAUGAAACCAAAUGUUUGAAUGCCAGGGUACACACUUCAUAGGCACCGCUCUCCCGUUCCUCAGUUGAAAUGUCAGACCUUCCUGCCAUCUUACUUAAAGAGAAUUUAAGAUCUAAUGUCGAUUCAUUUGAUGUAAUAUGUUUGAAUAUUUCUCUAAAAAUAAAACAAAAGCAUUUUACUGUGGGGAAGAACUAUAAGGAGUCCUAGUUGUUAUUAUGGGCGGUGCAAUGUUCAAUGUUUCCAAAUGUUUACAAAGGUGAAAAUCAAGCUCUUUUUUAUUUACAUGCAUUAGUGAACAAGGAUUUUGGACUCCUAAAGCAAACCCUAAUAUGUUAAUUUCCUUUAAAAACAUUGUUUGUAUUCUUAUUACGAAAAUACAAUGUAGUGUUUUCUCAUAAAAGUUGAUUUUUGAUGCAUAUGGUCAAAUUAAAGUAGUUGGAUUCUGUGUUAAAUGAUUUUUAAUCUUCUGCGUUUUUAUGAAAAUAAAAGGCAGCACUUUGUCAUUUUUAACAAUGUAUGUAGCCAAUAAAUCUAAUUUCAACAUUGAUUUUUGUAGGAAUUAAGCGAUCUCUGCAUUAUCUGCUGUGAUUUGUUUUUGGAAACAAGCCUGCUUUCUCCUAGAUUAUGUAGUUUUUAUAAAUUGCUAAUUACCAAAGGAUUUUUCAUUAAUAUUGCUUACAUUUGACAGCUAUUUUUCAUAGAAGAUAUAUAUAUAUAUAUAUAUUGCGGGGUCAAAUAUAUAUAUAUGACCCUGCAAAUAUAUCAUACCAUCAAUAUACCAUCUAUAAUGGAGUUUUAUGAACCGCGUUAGGAAAGGCAUGGAACGUAACAUUUUCAGUGAAUAAUUCCUAUUCCUAUAAUUAGUUCUCAGAACAGUUUACAAAUUGUCAGUCUCCUAAUAUAAACGGGAAAAAGCGAGUGAUCACAUUCGCUCAUACAUGUAACUAACAAGCAUCUCAUCAACACAGAAACUUAUUAUAAUCAAAUGCAGCUACUGUGCAGCCUCCAACUGAUUAAAAUGCACCUAUGCCCGAAUUGAUUAAUGGAGGUUCUAAAACGGCACGUGUUUCUCUCUUGCUUUCUUGUACAAUCCAGUCUUUCUUUCGUUCCAUUUUUUGGGGACAGGGAUUUGUUAUUUCUUUAAGGAUCUGAGGGAGCAUCACUUUUUAACAAGCAGAGGAUUUUUAACGCCCUCCUUCCCUAACUGAUCAAACAGAUUAACAGUAUUCAUUAAAGUGAUAUUGAUCUCUAUUGUAUGACAGUCCAGGAGUGUAUGUAUAUUUGCAUACAUAUAUCUAUAUUCACUCAGAGAUGGUCUGUAAUGUAAUACUUGAAGAAAGAUACAUUUCAUGUCAUGUGAUAGAAACGUUUGUGUGAGAGAGAGAAAUCAGUGAAGUAGAGUUAAAUCUAGAUCACAUUUCCGGGUUAGAUUGUGUGUAAUAAAGUCCUGGGCGUUAUUAUAAUACUUUAAAUAGAUAUGAGUGAAUUUACUUUCCCUCCUUCACUAGACGUGGUAAUGUAGAUGGUGACUGAAGAAAACCGUGAUGCUGUAAGCUGCCGAGUUCCCUCAAUUGCCAUUCAAUUCAAUGGGAAAAGGUGUUCAGCUCUGCGAGGAUCUGGUCCUAACUCCUGUCUAGGGCGUAUCAAAAAUAGGGAAAUGUUGCUUAACUACAGAAGAUCUGAAUGUGCCCAGGGAUAUUUUUUCCAUAUGAUUUUUCUCAGUGGGAAUGCUACUUCGGGCCAGAUCGUGCUGCCGGAUUAAUCGAACCGAUCUGACCCCCCAAAUAUCUCCGACUUUUCAUCUUGGAAUGCUUCAAAUUUGACCUCGUCAAAUUAGCAACGCAGCUACUAGGGUCCAGGGCUGCUCCGGAGAAUGAAACACACUCGCUCUGUCAAUGGACAGCGGAAGCCGCAAAAUUAAACUUUUGUGUCAGGGUUGUUGGUUUUUUCCUCCCCUUUCAAACUUGGAAAUAGGUUGGCGUCUGUAUUUAUUUUGACUCAAGGAGCUCCGACAUCUUUUCCAUUGCAAUGCUCACAAAACAAAAUGUAAAACGGUGUUUUCAA
This is a long non-coding RNA of Malaclemys terrapin pileata, 2470 nucleotides long. RefSeq lists it as uncharacterized. NCBI's taxonomy places the organism in Eukaryota, Metazoa, Chordata, Testudines, Emydidae. The transcript has 3 exons. The record is from RefSeq and is a predicted model, not a curated record.